This 536-nucleotide small RNA is filed under the name Pongo abelii (Sumatran orangutan). RNAcentral's name for it is "retained intron". The record is from RNAcentral. Lineage: Eukaryota; Metazoa; Chordata; Mammalia; Primates; Hominidae.
UACUCCACUUCUGGAAUUUUUCUUCUCAAUGUUCUGCUUCUUUCAGGUGAAAAUUAUCUCAAUGAACGAGGAUGUCACUCUUAGAUCAGCCCUCGAUAGAAAUCUGAAGAGUGCUGUGACCGCUGCUUUCCUCAUGCUGCCCGAAAGCUUUUCUGAAGAAGACCUCUUCAUAGAGAUUGCUGGUCUCUCCUAUUCAGAUGAGAAAACUGAGGCCCAGAGUGGUUCCCUGUCUAAGGUCACUCAUCUGGUGCAUGAUGGACUAGUUUGAAUACCAGCUUUCUAAAGGUGACUUUCGGAUGGUGGUUGGAGAAGAUAAAACAAAAGUGUUGAAUAUUGUGAAGCCCAAUAUAGCCCACUUUCGAGAGCUCUAUGGCAGCAUACUACAGGAGAAUCCUCAAGUGGUGUAUAAAAGCCAGCAAGGCUGGCUGGAGGUAAACUGUAUGUGGAAAAUAGCUUGUAUUGUUUCUAAGACAAGGGCUAUUUGCAGGAGGAAAGUCAGGGGUAGAACAGCAUGAGUGAUGUGAGAACAUUUAUAG